Molecule: long non-coding RNA, 1385 nt
Organism: Lepisosteus oculatus (spotted gar)
Lineage: Eukaryota; Metazoa; Chordata; Actinopteri; Semionotiformes; Lepisosteidae
Source: RefSeq, a predicted model, not a curated record
GCGCGGCCCGUCACCCCGUUACUGUGCUGCCGAGGGGAGCAGCGCUAUGUCAUGAGCCCGCUCGCCGUGUUGGGGUUGGUGAGACUGUUUCUGCCUUGAAAUACAGGCAAAAAUAGUUAUGGAACUAUUUUAAUUAAGACAUUUAGGAAAGAGAGCAGCAUGUAGACGUGACUGUUUCAGAAGAAUGAAGAGGUCACCUUCCAGAGGACAGUCCUUUCAACAAGAGAAUACCUGCAGAUGCACAGCACAAGCACAAGGUUUUACAUCAAUAGCUCCCUGGGUGCAAUGUUCAGCUCAAGUCUUAUGAUUUCAUCAAAAUAUUACUCAGUGUGCGGUAUCUGAAAUAGAAGGAGAUGUACAAACUGCCAUUCAAAAACCAAGAUUGUAAUUAAUGAAUGAACAGCAAAAAAUACCAUUAAGUCCUGCUGGGGUACUGAUAGACAUGUUGUUGCUCUCGGCGUGAUGAAAGGUAGCCCUCUGUGAGACAGGUUGCCAGGAGAAUGAGAAGCUCUGCUUGAACAUCCAGACACUUUGUGCAGAGAAGCCAGGAAGCUGACUCUGUGGGGGACAGGCUUCAUCCUUGUGAAUGACCCUCACAAGCUGAGUCCUGUACUUCCUCACUUGCAGACCUGGAGAGACAUAACCAAGCAGAAAUAAUAGACGUAAUUCAGGAAGAUACAAUCCCAGUAGCAGCAGAAUGACAGUAGCUCACUCUCGGCGUGAAGAAGAUCUCUGUUCCCGUGUAACCCCUUGAAAACCCAGAGGCUACGUUCUGUGGACCAGAAAACACCAGAGGUGGUCGAGUGGUGGUGAAGGGUUUCAUUUACCAUUGAGUGACGAUUUGCUCUUGACAGACCUGAUGGAAGACAGCAUGCAUGGAGACAUUGUGAGGAGCCUUCUGCCGAUUAACAGAGGGCAAUGGUGACUUGAUGGACUGGGGAGGAUUCUUCUCCCCUAUAUUUCUUGAGCCAAUGUUGUUCCAGCAUUCUGGUGCAGAAGUGCUGAUUUUGCAGCAAGAGAAUGGAGGGCCACACAGUUGCUAGGAUUACAGUGGCAUGAGUUCUCCUUGCCUGAGUACAACAGGACGUCUUUGGGACCAAGUCACAAGUGUCGUCAACAGGAGACAACCUUGACUGGGAAACCUCUUCCAUUGGCAGCAGUUAUAUACUGUUGGAGGAGUGACAGGACAUCAAACUGCAUGAGAUGCGGUGCUGUGGCUUGUCGUGUAGCUUGCUGGUCUGCGGUUGGUGAGACUCCGCAGAAUAAACUGCUCUCGGUGAAGGUCUGGGUUCAAAUCCACUGAGUGCAGGGCCUUUGGGUGGAGCAGUGGCACUGUGGCUGGAAGGUUGCUGGUUCAAAUCCCAUGGCUGGCAGAGGAAUCCUAC